Molecule: small nuclear RNA, 134 nt
Organism: Lutra lutra (Eurasian river otter)
Lineage: Eukaryota; Metazoa; Chordata; Mammalia; Carnivora; Mustelidae
Product: U4 spliceosomal RNA
Exons: 1
Source: RefSeq, a predicted model, not a curated record
AGCUUUGCGCAGUGGCAGUAUCGUAGCCAAUGAGGUUUAUCCGAGGCGCGAUUAUUGCUAAUUGAAGGAUAUGGAGUUCACAGGCCAGGUCUUACGAGCCACAUGAGAAUAUCAUUUUAAUAGUCUCUUUAGAU